GGGGGAUUAAGGUGUAGACAUGACAAAAGGCCAAAGCGCAAAGUCAUGGACAUGGGUUCGAGUCCCAUAUCCUCCACCA
RNAcentral lists this transfer RNA (79 nucleotides) under Thermoanaerobacterales bacterium. Its description in RNAcentral is "tRNA-OTHER". Lineage: Bacteria; Bacillati; Bacillota; Clostridia; Thermoanaerobacterales. The record is from RNAcentral.